GUGGGGAAUAUUGCACAAUGGAGGGAACUCUGAUGCAGCAACGCCGCGUGAAGGAAGAAGUAUUUCGGUAUGUAAACUUCUAUCAGUAGGGAAGAAAAGAAUGACGGUACCUAACUAAGAAGAACCGGCUAAAUACGUGCCAGCAGCCGCGGUAAUACGUAUGGUUCAAGCGUUAUCCGGAUUUACUGGGUGUAAAGGGUGAGUAGGCGGUUAUGCAAGUCAUAUGUGAAAUGUCGGGGCUCAACUCCGGCCUGCAUAAGAAACUGUAUAACUAGAGUGCAGGAGAGGCAAGCGGAAUUCCUAGUGUAGCGGUGAAAUGCGUAGAUAUUAGGAAGAACACCGGUGGCGAAGGCGGCUUGCUGGACUGUUACUGACGCUGAGUCACGAAAGCGUGGGGAGCAAACAGGA
Molecule: ribosomal RNA, 408 nt
Filed under: uncultured bacterium
Lineage: Bacteria
Description: bacterial SSU rRNA
Rfam family: Bacterial small subunit ribosomal RNA
Source: RNAcentral